GCAUGAUAAUUCGCCCUUUAAUUGUGGGCUUGUACGAAAGGAUAAACGAAGGCUUAACUGUCUCUUAAACACACAUAAAAAUUGGCCUUUAGGUGAAAAGACCUAAAUUUUAUUAGAGGACAAAAAGACCCCGUAGAGCUUUGUGUCUGAAUAAUUAUAUUUAUUUUUUAAAACAAUAAACAUAAAUUAAUAAAAUACACUUGGCUGGGGCGGUCAUGGAGAAAAAAACCUCCACAAACUUUUUAAGAUCUAUUAAAUCUUUAUCUUUAUGAUCCUUUCCAAGAUCAAAAAAAUUAGCUACCUCGGGGAUAACAGAUUAAUCCUUUUCGAGAGCUCACAUUGACAAAAGGGUUUGACACCUCGAUGUUGGCUUAGGGUACCCUAAGGGUCCGCAGAAGCCCUUAAUGGUAGGUUUGUUCAACCUUUAAAACCCU
RNAcentral lists this ribosomal RNA (434 nucleotides) under Terebellides gracilis. Its description in RNAcentral is "partial 16S ribosomal RNA". It matches the Rfam family "Bacterial large subunit ribosomal RNA", at positions 1956 to 2597 of the family's 2925-position model. The record is from RNAcentral. Lineage: Eukaryota; Metazoa; Annelida; Polychaeta; Terebellida; Trichobranchidae.